UGCAAAUCUCCCCGCCGCAGCCAAGCGCUCCGUGGACCUGGGUGCGUGGUUGCCGACCGCGGAAAAGGGGAAUCCGGAAAAGGGGAUCCCGGAUGUUUUCAAAUUUCUCAAGACGAGAUGCAUCUCGGAACACACUUUGGAAUUUUGGAGCACUCUGUACACCAGUUUCCUUCGCCUCCUCUCUGCCCUCCAAGUCAAACACAGAAUCUAGGAAUUUUAUUUCUAUUUUACAGGAAACAGAUCUUUCUAACUUUGGAAGAUUGCCACAGAGUACUGCUAGUGUUGUCACUAACAUGCUACUGAACAGCAUACUGAAAGUCACUCUAAAGCAGGCGCCUAGAGCUGGAGACAGUGGAGUGCUGAGGAGGAGAGCGGCUCUGUUGAGGGCAGGGGAGAACAAGGAGCCAUUUGAGUCAAGAGGCCCAGGAGUUUCUGGAAACUCACAAGGAAUCUGGCAACACAGUUCCCAAGAGGUCUGACCCAGGAGGAUCAGAAAAACUCUGUGGUUCUCAGAGGCAAAUCCCCAACCCUGGGAGUCCAGAAGCUGCAGGCUCUUUCCAGAAGGGAGAAGUUCCUGCCAAGGCCCUUCCAGACUAAGCCUGUAGCAUUCCUGAUGCUGCGUGAAUACAGAACUCCAGUGGAUCCAGCAUGGGACUCAAAGCAAGCACAAGGCAAGC
Long non-coding RNA from Herpailurus yagouaroundi (jaguarundi), 677 nucleotides. RefSeq lists it as uncharacterized. The record is from RefSeq and is a predicted model, not a curated record. The transcript is spliced from 3 exons. Lineage: Eukaryota; Metazoa; Chordata; Mammalia; Carnivora; Felidae.